RNAcentral lists this ribosomal RNA (372 nucleotides) under uncultured bacterium. Its description in RNAcentral is "bacterial SSU rRNA". It matches the Rfam family "Bacterial small subunit ribosomal RNA", at positions 524 to 898 of the family's 1533-position model. The record is from RNAcentral.
UACGGAAGGUCCGGGCGUUAUCCGGAUUUAUUGGGCUUAAAGGGAGCGUAGGCCGCUUUGUAAGCGUGUUGUGAAAUUUGCCGGCUCAACCGGUAACUUGCAGCGCGAACUGCAGAGCUUGAGUGUGCGCAACGUUGGCGGAAUUCGUCGUGUAGCGGUGAAAUGCUUAGAUAUGACGAAGAACUCCGAUUGCGAAGGCAGCUGACGGGAGCACUACUGACGCUGAAGCUCGAAAGUGUGGGUAUCGAACAGGAUUAGAUACCCUGGUAGUCCGCACGGUAAACGAUGGAUGCCCGCUGUUUGCACAUAGUUGCAAGCGGCCAAGCGAAAGCGUUAAGCAUCCCACCUGGGGAGUACGCCGGCAACGGUGAA